AGUCUUUGCAGAAUGUGACGCACCAGCGCGCUGUAGAUGUCAUCCGUCAGUCGUACAGUAAUAAGAUGAAAGAACCAAUGGAAUUUGUUGUUAAGAUACCGAAGAAGUCGCAGCAGUGAUGGCAAGUUAUUUAUCCGAAUACACAUUUAAACCUCGCAGCUAAUGUUAACUGGCACUUUACAUCACCGAUAUGGUGAUGGGGAAUAAACAUACAACUCUACUGUAUAAGUGAGCGCUAACUCCCUGGCUCAAAGGUAAUAUCCAACAAGUCUUCCUUUUAUACACCUGGG
This is a non-coding RNA of Pelobates cultripes (western spadefoot toad), 290 nucleotides long. The record is from the annotation of a GenBank genome assembly. Lineage: Eukaryota; Metazoa; Chordata; Amphibia; Anura; Pelobatidae.